GUGAACGCUGGCGAUAGGCCUAACACAUGCAAGUCGAACGGCAGCACAGUAAGAGCUUGCUCUUACGGGUGGCGAGUGGCGGACGGGUGAGGAAUACAUCGGAAUCUACUUUUUCGUGGGGGAUAACGUAGGGAAACUUACGCUAAUACCGCAUACGACCUACGGGUGAAAGCAGGGGAUCUUCGGACCUUGCGCGAUUGAAUGAGCCGAUGUCGGAUUAGCUAGUUGGCGGGGUAAAGGCCCACCAAGGCGACGAUCCGUAGCUGGUCUGAGAGGAUGAUCAGCCACACUGGAACUGAGACACGGUCCAGACUCCUACGGGAGGCAGCAGUGGGGAAUAUUGGACAAUGGGCGCAAGCCUGAUCCAGCCAUACCGCGUGGGUGAAGAAGGCCUUCGGGUUGUAAAGCCCUUUUGUUGGGAAAGAAAAGCAGCAGGUUAAUACCCCGCUGUUCUGACGGUACCCAAAGAAUAAGCACCGGCUAACUUCGUG
This 491-nucleotide ribosomal RNA is filed under the name uncultured bacterium. RNAcentral's name for it is "partial 16S ribosomal RNA". It matches the Rfam family "Bacterial small subunit ribosomal RNA", at positions 29 to 507 of the family's 1533-position model. The record is from RNAcentral.